Molecule: ribosomal RNA, 495 nt
Filed under: uncultured bacterium
Lineage: Bacteria
Description: partial 16S ribosomal RNA
Rfam family: Bacterial small subunit ribosomal RNA
Source: RNAcentral
GACGAACGCUGGCGGCGUGCCUAAUACAUGCAAGUAGAACGCUGAAGGAGGAGCUUGCUUCUCUGGAUGAGUUGCGAACGGGUGAGUAACGCGUAGGUAACCUGCCUGGUAGCGGGGGAUAACUAUUGGAAACGAUAGCUAAUACCGCAUAAGAGUAGAUGUUGCAUGACAUUUGCUUAAAAGGUGCAAUUGCAUCACUACCAGAUGGACCUGCGUUGUAUUAGCUAGUUGGUGGGGUAACGGCUCACCAAGGCGACGAUACAUAGCCGACCUGAGAGGGUGAUCGGCCACACUGGGACUGAGACACGGCCCAGACUCCUACGGGAGGCAGCAGUAGGGAAUCUUCGGCAAUGGACGGAAGUCUGACCGAGCAACGCCGCGUGAGUGGAGAAGGUUUUCGGAUCGUAAAGCUCUGUUGUAAGAGAAGAACGAGUGUGAGAGUGGAAAGUUCACACUGUGACGGUAUCUUACCAGAAAGGGGCGGCUAACUACGUG